CAGUCGCCGCGGUAAUACGAAGGUCCCAAGCGUUGUUCGGAAUCACUGGGCGUAAAGGGAGCGUAGGCGGCGCGGUAAGUCAGAUGUGAAAUCCCGGGGCUCAACCCCGGAACUGCAUCCGAUACUGCCAUGCUUGAGGGUUGGAGAGGUAGCUGGAAUUCUCGGUGUAGCAGUGAAAUGCGUGGAUAUCGAGAGGAACACUCGUGGCGAAGGCGAGCUACUGGACAACAUCUGACGCUGAGGCUCGAAGGCUAGGGUAGCGAAAGGGAUUAGAUACCCCAGUAGUCCCUGUCUCUUAUAA
Molecule: ribosomal RNA, 301 nt
Filed under: uncultured bacterium
Lineage: Bacteria
Description: partial 16S ribosomal RNA
Rfam family: Bacterial small subunit ribosomal RNA
Source: RNAcentral